This is a long non-coding RNA of Macadamia integrifolia, 6550 nucleotides long. RefSeq lists it as uncharacterized. NCBI's taxonomy places the organism in Eukaryota, Viridiplantae, Streptophyta, Magnoliopsida, Proteales, Proteaceae. The record is from RefSeq and is a predicted model, not a curated record. The transcript has 2 exons.
UGAUUUUGAAUUAAAACCCAUUCAUGUUUAGGGGGUCAUUAUUUCUGUAUUGCUGAAUGCAGGUCUAACUAGUUGAGGUGCUACCUUUGGUUAUGUUCUGUAGAGUUUUUGAUAUAUUAUUACUACUAUUAUUAUUGUCGUUAUUGCUCCUGAUGGUUUUUUCUUGCUAUUGUUGCAUCCAAUAUUUUCUCUUUCAUCUGCCCCAAGUAAUUCUAUACUUGCCUUAUUAGUUACUUCUAUUUAGGUUUAUAUGAAUUGGCUCUUCUAAAGCUUUUGACUCCAGAUACUACUUUCCUACUUUAAACUUACUCUCUGCUGUUUUACUAGUAUUGAUCUAUGCCAUAAGUUCCUGUCUAUAUUUUGCAUCUACCAUAUGCUGUUUGCAGUAAAAACAAAUUCUGCUUAUCCUAAUGCACUUGAAAGUCCGUUAGUCCUUAAUCCUACUUACCUAGUGUGCAUUUAUGAGGGCUUAUAGUUUAUGUAGAUUCAUAGGCUGCAGUGGAGAAUUGGAUAAAUCCUAAAUGUUGAGUUUAGUGCUAAAUGAGAACCUCUUUGACCAGUUAGUUGCUUUUAAGUUCUAAUCAUUGAUAUCCUGCCUCUCCUUAAGGUGACAUUGCCCUUCUCAUUAUGGAAACAUCAUUAGGAAGGACCUGCUUCAACCCCGGAGAAAGCUAUCAGAACAAAUUAUUGGAAUAUCUAUUGCUUCAUUGCUGUUGAAUAAUGUAUUAUUGUGAUAAUGGGUUUUAGGGGUUAUAUUCAAACAGACCCUUAAGCCCUUAGGGACUACUUAGACUACUGUAAGGACUACUUAUUUUGCUAUAAAUAGAGGAGGACUGUGCCCAUUAAGGCACAAGUCCAUUCCCCAAAAAUUCUUCAUUGUAUUAGAGCAAGUCUGAUCAUCAAACCCCAAAACCCAAAACCCCAGUCCAUUACCUUCUUCCUUCCCUACGUUUUAGCCUCACCGCUGCUGCCAAGCCCCACGCCCUUCCUUGUCGUUGCCAAUAACCUCAAAACCUUCUCGUGGCAUGCCACACAUUCCUCCUACCCAACACCUUACAGCCCAACCCUGCAUCGCAACCUUGCACCACCAAGAGCGUACGACCCUUGCCAAACCAGAGGAUAAUCUUGCCAAACCUUCGAUCCUCGCCAAACCAGAGGAUAAUCCCGCCAACCUGCGAUCCUUGCCAAACUAGCGAUCCGCAUGAACACUUCGUCACCCACAUCCCUACAAUCCUGCACAACCAAGAACCUCUACAACAACUUGCGAUCCUUGCCACAUGAACCUUUCGCCAAAUCUAUGAGCAUCACGAACCCCUCUGCGAGCAUCAUGAACCUCCUACGAGCAUCAUGAACCUCCCUGUGACCAUCAUUGUUGCAACCCUCGCUGCCAAUCCUGCAACCAUCAUUGCUGCAACCCUCCUUGCACAACCGAACCCAACCGCACUACAACCAAACCAAUCGUUGCCACUAAACCUCAUCACAGCAACCUCUCGACACUACCAGUUGUAAUUCUCUGCACUAUUACUAGCAGCACAACUCCUAAUCGUAAUCCUCCAACUCCACCAAACCAUAAUCCUACUCCUAACUUGACUCAAACUAAGGGACCCACCCCUAUCGAGGUAGCGUCCCGAAGGUUGCCGAAGGCAAGGAAGACAUCGCUUGCACGAGGAAACUUCGCAGCCAUCCCAGCUUGCGUUAGUUACAAGGUCCGUUCGCUAACUCUACUUCAUGCUACUUUCGGUUGUGUGAAGCGAGUGUCUUUAGCCUAAUAAACCAACUACACUAAACCAUAAUCCUAUCCUAAACCGACUACAACUAACCCAACUAAACCUAGCCCAAAACCAACUCCUAAACCAAGUAGACCCACUCCUAACCUAACUUGACCUAACCCAAACCAACUUUAACACCCAAGCCCACCUUAACACCUAAACCGACACCUCCCACCCCACCCUACCCCUUAUGCGCUAACCUAUCCACCUCACCCUAUCGACACCUCUACGUCUACACUACCUUGCGGCUUGCGCCCCAAAAUUCCUUUGUAAGGAGGGGCGAUUUUGUCUCUCAUAGGCUCUCUCCCUAGUGGGCCAUUGUCUUAGUGUCAUUGAUACCCUGUAUCUAUGCUUGAUUAGAUUUGGCUUGGUCGUCUUUUCUUGUGCUUGCUUAUUGACUCUGCACCCAUGGAGUCUGAGGAUUCUGGGAUAUCAGUUACUUAGGAAGGUGGGGGACGUUCCUCUAGUCAUGACUAUCUUCUCUUCCCUACUAGCACCAUCAAGUUGGAUGGCAACUACUAUCUGAUUUGGUUUCGAUCUUACUACCUGUCGAUUCUUGGUCGUGGUUAUACCGGGUUUCUCACAGGUGAUUUAGUAUGCCCUCCUACUGCUGGUUGUGCUCAAGACAAAUGGGACGUUGCCAAUUGGAUGGUGAUGUCCUAUUUCCAAUUGGAUGGUAAUGUCCUAUCUUAUUAAUUAUAUGUCCUCUUCUAUUGCUCGGACAUAUCUAUUACUUGAUUUUGCUGCUAAGAUUUGGAAGGCCGCUAAGGCCACCUAUUACCACAUGGGCAAGCGUUCCCAGUGUUUUGAACUAAGGAAGAAGGUUCAUCGGGAUACUCAAAAAGAGCUUUAUGUGGCCCAAUAUUACUCUGAUAUGUAGGGUAUGUGGAAUAAGAUUGAUUAUUAUGAGACUUAUCAACCUGUUUUUGAGAUUGAUGUUGCGUUUAAGAAGCGUGAGGAGGAGCUCCGCGUUUAUGAUUUUCUGGUAGGUUUCAAUAUGGAAUAUGAUUAGAUUAGGACUAUUGUACUUAAUCGUGAUCCCUCACCCAUACUCGAGGAAGCAUAUUCAUCAUUGAGGUUGAGAAACGUCGAUUUGAGAUGUUAUAGCUUGUUUCUCAGGAUCGAUCCGCUUUGGAUCCUGUUGCUGGUAUAGGUUCCCGGAUUACUACUUCAUUCUCUUCCGACAAACCAGUUGUCAAGUGUGACUAUUGUGGCAAGGAGCGUCACACUAUGGAGACUUGUUGGAAGCUCUAUGGACAUCUUGCUAACUCUCGUGGGCGUAAUUAGGGUCGUGGGAAGAACUCCCAAGCGAAUCAGCCAGAAACUACAGGUGACUUAGAUAGCUUUACUAAUGCCGGUGCCUCUUCUACUGAUGAAAUGGCUAUGCUUCGUCAUAUGUUGACUUAGAUGGGAUCUUCUACUGUUGCUACUGCUUCCUCUAUACCAACAAUCAUUGUUUCCCUCUCCGUCCACUCAGGUAUCAUAUUUUGUGGCCAUAGUGCACUUGUAUCCUCGUCCUAGAUAAUUGACUUUGGGGCUACUGAUCACAUGACCGGUUUGCACUCCUUUUUUUCUACCUAUUGUCCCUCUUUAGGUAAUACCAACGUUUGUGUCGCUGAUGGUUCCCUUUCCCCUAUUGCUGGAUCGGGUUCCAUUCAGUGCUCUCCUUCGUUAUCAUUGUCUUAUGUGUUACAAGUUCCUAAGUUUACUACCGAUUUAUCAUCCAUUGGUAGUAUUAUUAAAGAUUUGAAUUGUAAAGUCACUUUCUUUCCUACUCACUGUGUUUUUCAAGGCUUGGUGAUGGGGGCAACGAUUGGCAAUGGUAGAAUGAGUUGUGCUCUCUAUUACCUGAACACUGGUCUCUCAUGGGCUCUACAAACUUCAUUUGUUUUGGCACUCUCAGAACUUUUAGGUUGGCAUCGCAGUCUUUGUCACCCCCUAUGGGGCACUUUGGUUAGAUUAUUUCCAGCAUUAGUUAGACAUUGUUCUAUGGACUAGUUUAUUUGUGAUGCAUGUAUUUUGACAUAACAAACUCGGACUGUUUAUCCUCUUUCUGAUAAUAGAAGUACUGUUCCUUUUGCUUUAAUUCAUUCUGAUAUUUGGGCCUUACCCGUCGUGUCUUUGUUCUGGCUAUAGAUGGUUUUAUACUUUAUUGAUUGCAAUACUCGUUCCACUUGGAUUUAUUUGUUACAUCAUAAGAGAGGUUUUUCAGUGCUUUCGGGAAUUUCAUUACAUGGUUAGCACACAGUUUGAUGCAAAACUCAAGAUACUGCGAACUGAUAAUAGAAAGGAAUAUAUGGAUGGCUCCUUCAAGUCUCACUUGGUUGAUCAUGGGAUCAUCCAUCAGACUAAUUGUGUGGUUACUCCAGAACAGAAUGACGUGACUUAACGUAAGAAUCGUCAUCUACUCGAGGUUGUUCGCUCCUUGAUAUUUGAGAUGCAAGUUCAUGCUCCCUAUUGGGAUGAGGCUGUUCUCACUGCUGCCUAUCUCAUCAAUAGGAUGCUUUCACGGUUUCAGGCAAGCUUGAUUAUCGUGGUUUCUGGUGUAUUUUUUUGGGCUAUUCUCCCACUCAGAAGGGAUACCGGUGCUAUCAUCCACCUUCUUGAUUGCUCUUUGUUUCCAUGGAUGUGAUCUUUCGUGAGAUUGAGGCUUACUUUCCACGUCUUUAGGGGUGCUCUUUGGUGGUGAAGAGGUGAUUCAAAUUCCUACUUUUGAUUGUCUUUUAUACCUUACUAUAGAUGAUGGUGCUACUCAGAGGGAUAUUGGAAUAAAGACUACUGGUUCAAAGGUUUCCAUUGGUCCAAAGGUUACUGUUUAGGGGGAGCCAUCAAUUCAGGUGCAGGAGGCUCCUAUUCAUGGGAGAGUCACAGAUUCAACAGAAAACACAGGAUGAUCCAGUGAUACAUGUAUUCUCUCGUAAAAAAAGAACUGAAACUACUUCUGCUACUCCAUUGCUUCUCGAUCCAGAGUCUUCUCUUCUAGGUAUAACGUUUCCCCUCACUUUUGUUCAGUCUUUUGAUUUUCCUAUUGCUCAUAGAAAAGGUAAUGGGACUUGUACUCAACAUCCUAUUUCUCACGUGGUGUUAUAUAAUGCUCUCUCUCCAUCAUAUUGUGCAUUUGUCUACCUUGUCCUCUUUUUCUAUUCCUAAAACUUGACAUGAGGCAAAUGCAAAACCUAAGUGGAAGAAGGCAAUGAAUGAGGAGAUGAGAGCUCUUCACAAGAAUAAUACAUGUGAUCUGGUUGUUCUUCCCCUACAAAAGUGACCAGUUGGCUGCAAAUUGGUGUUCACAGUCAAGCAUAAAGGCAAGACUGGUGGCAAAGGGCUUUACUCAGACUUAUGAGAUUGAUUAUCAGGAGACCUUUGCACUUGUAGCAAAAAUGAAUAUAGUUCGAGUUAUCAUCUCCUUUGCAGUGAACCGAGGAUGGGAGCUACAACAACUAGAUGUCAAGAAUGAUUUUAUUCAUUGAGAGUUGACUGAGGAAGUAUAUAUGGACAUUUCACCUAGAUACUCUAGUUCAGAAACACAAGGCAAGUUGUGUAGUCUGAAGAGAGCUCUGUAUAGAUUAAAGCAAUCUCCCAUGGCAUGGUUUGGUCGUUUUCACAAGGCUAUGAUAGCUGUUGGGUUUACCUAAAGUAAUGCUGAUCAUACUCUAUUUAUUAAAAGGGUGGGUGACCAGAUUACUUUGUUGAUAGUGUAUGUGGAUGAUAUUGUUACCUGCAAUGAUACAUAUGAAAUUUCUAAGCUCAAGGCCUCUCUUGGUAAGGAGUUUGAGAUCAAGGACCUAGGAAGGCUGAAAUACUUUCUUGGCAUUGAGGUGACAUAUUUAACCGAGGGAAUUGUUCUCUCCCAGAGAAAGUAUACCUUGGACCUCCUCUUAAGAGACUACUGGUAUGUUGGGGUGUAAACCCUUGGAUACUCCUAAUGGUGCUAACUCUCAUCAGAAGUAAGGAAGUUGAACCUGUUGAUAAAGGUCGGUAUCAAAGACUGGUUGAAAGACUCAUAUACCUAUCCUACACAAGACCAAACAUAGCUCAUGCAGUAAGUUUGGUGAGUCAGUACAUGCAUGAUCCCUAUUUCUCACUUAUGGUUGUUGUGAACCGUAUUCUUAGGUACUUGAAGACUGCACCAGGAAAUGGCAUUUUAUUCUCUCUACAGAUCACAUGAGGAUUAAGGCAUAUACUAAUGUUGUUCUCCAGAUGAUCGUCACUCGACUAUUGGCUACUGUACAUUUGUUGGUGGAACUUGUUUAUGUGGCGUAGUAAGAAGUAGUCAGUUGUGGCGCAGAGGCUUAGUUUCGAGCUAUGGCACAUGAGAAUUGUGAGCUACCUUGGUUGCAGUCUCGUUCAUGACCUGGGUGUUUCCAUGUAGGUGCUGAUGUUACUAUAUUGUGAUAAUAAGUCGGCCAUCAGCAUUGCACACGGCCCUGUUCAGCAUAACCGUACCAGGCAUGUCGAGAUCGAUAGACAUUUUAUCAAGGAGCAGUUAGAGCAAGGACUUAUCUAUAUUCCUUUUGUGCGAAGUGAAGAUCAGUUAGCAGAUGUUCUCACAAAGGGACUUAGUAGUAAAUCUUUUUAUUUUAUUUUGUCUAAGUUGGGGUAUGUGUGAUAUCUAUGCACCAACUUGAGAGGGAGCGUUGAAUAUUGCUUUAUUGUAAUAGGGGUUAUAUUCAAAUAGACCCUUAAGCCCUUAGGGACGACUUAGAAUACUGUAAGGACUACUUAUUUUUUAUAAAUAGAGGAGGAAUGUGCCCAUUAAGGCACAAGUCCAUUCCCCAAAA